GUAGGAUAGAAAUAAAUUAUAUUAGUUAAAAGUUAAAAGAGAGAGAGUUAGGAGAUUGGUUAAUUUUAUAGGUAAAAUUUGUUGAAUUAGUUAUUUUCUAAGAUGGAGAAUUGAAGCUUUGAAAGUUAAAAUUGAAACUAGGAUUAGAUACCCUAUUAUUUUAAUUGUAAAGAGGGAAGCUGGAGUAGUAGUAGUUAAGUACUUGAAACUCAAAGAAUUUGGCGGUAUCUUAGUCUUUUCAGAGGAAUCUGUCCUAUAAUCGAUAGCACACGUUAAAUGUUGCUUAACUUGGUAUAACCAAUUUGUAUACCGCCGUCAUAAGAUCAUCUUUUUAGAGGAAGAAUUUUCUUGAUAUUAUAAGAUAAUAUGUCAGGUCAAGGUGCAGUUUAUAGUUAAGAGGGAGAUGGAUUACAAUAGAUUUAUUUAAAUGGAUUCCUUGCUGAGAGGUGAGGAUGAAGGUGGAUUUGAAGGUAAUUUUACUAAAUUAUGGUAAAAUGAUUGAAGCUCUAGGAUAUGUACACAUCGCCCGUCGCUCUCGUUAUUAAGAUGAGAUAAGUCGUAACAUAGUAGUCGUACUGGAAAGUGUGGCUGGAAAGUCAA
This 600-nucleotide ribosomal RNA is filed under the name Poecilimon pulcher. RNAcentral describes it as "partial 12S ribosomal RNA". The stretch from base 182 to 591 matches the Rfam family "Microsporidia small subunit ribosomal RNA", at positions 751 to 1303 of the family's 1311-position model. Lineage: Eukaryota; Metazoa; Arthropoda; Insecta; Orthoptera; Tettigoniidae. The record is from RNAcentral.